RNAcentral lists this ribosomal RNA (253 nucleotides) under uncultured bacterium. Its description in RNAcentral is "partial 16S ribosomal RNA". It matches the Rfam family "Bacterial small subunit ribosomal RNA", at positions 524 to 776 of the family's 1533-position model. The record is from RNAcentral.
UACGGAGGAUCCAAGCGUUAUCCGGAUUUAUUGGGUUUAAAGGGUGCGUAGGUGGCUUAUUAAGUCAGGGGUGAAAGACGGUAGCUUAACUAUCGCAGUGCCUUUGAUACUGAUGAGCUUGAAUGAACUAGAGGUAGGCGGAAUGUGACAAGUAGCGGUGAAAUGCAUAGAUAUGUCACAGAACACCAAUUGCGAAGGCAGCUUACUAUGGUUUUAUUGACACUGAGGCACGAAAGCGUGGGGAGCAAACAGG